The sequence is a ribosomal RNA, 569 nucleotides long. It matches the Rfam family "Bacterial large subunit ribosomal RNA", at positions 1817 to 2597 of the family's 2925-position model.
CGCCUCUUGUAACCUACAAAUAAGAGGUCCCGCCUGCCCUGUGACUAUGGGUUUAACGGCCGCGGUAUUUUGACCGUGCAAAGGUAGCGCAAUCACUUGUCCUUUAAAUGAGGACCUGUAUGAAAGGCAUCACGAGGGCUUAGCUGUCUCCUUUUUCAAGUCGAUGAAGUUGAUCCCCCCGUGCAGAAGCGGGGAUUAGAACAUAAGACGAGAAGACCCUAUGGAGCUUUAGAUACAAGACAGAUCAUGUUAAGCACCUUAAAUAAAAAAGCAAACUAAGUGGAACCUGUCUUAAUGUCUUUGGUUGGGGCGACCGCGGGGCAACAAAAAGCCCCCAUGAGGAAUAAAAGUAUUCUUUCAAAAACAAGAGCCACAGCUCUAAUGAACAGAACAUCUGACCUACCAGAUCCGGCAUAGCCGAUCAACGAACCGAGUUACCCUAGGGAUAACAGCGCAAUCCCCUUUUAGAGCCCCUAUCGACAAGGGGGUUUACGACCUCGAUGUUGGAUCAGGACAUCCUAAUGGUGUAGCCGCUAUUAAGGGUUCGUUUGUUCAACGAUUAAAGUCCU